AUCCAACUGACGAGUCCCAAGUAGGACGAAAUGUGCGUUAUCCCGGAU
This 48-nucleotide non-coding RNA is filed under the name Trichobilharzia regenti. The record is from RNAcentral. Lineage: Eukaryota; Metazoa; Platyhelminthes; Trematoda; Strigeidida; Schistosomatidae.